This 584-nucleotide ribosomal RNA is filed under the name uncultured fungus. RNAcentral describes it as "SSU rRNA". It matches the Rfam family "Eukaryotic small subunit ribosomal RNA", at positions 1197 to 1800 of the family's 1831-position model. Lineage: Eukaryota; Fungi. The record is from RNAcentral.
GACUCAACACGGGGAAACUCACCAGGUCCAGACAUAACUAGGAUUGACAGAUUGAUAGCUCUUUCAUGAUUUUAUGGGUGGUGGUGCAUGGCCGUUCUUAGUUGGUGGAGUGAUUUGUCUGGUUAAUUCCGAUAACGAACGAGACCUUAACCUGCUAAAUAGCCAGGCCGGCUUUUGCUGGUCGCCGGCUUCUUAGAGGGACUGUCAGUGUCUAACUGACGGAAGUUUGAGGCAAUAACAGGUCUGUGAUGCCCUUAGAUGUUCUGGGCCGCACGCGCGCUACACUGACAGAGCCAGCGAGUUUUUUUCCUUGGCCGGAAGGUCUGGGUAAUCUUGUGAAACUCUGUCGUGCUGGGGAUAGACCAUUGCAAUUAUUGGACUUCAACGAGGAAUUCCUAGUAAGCGUGAGUCAUCAGCUCGCGUUGAUUACGUCCCUGCCCUUUGUACACACCGCCCGUCGCUACUACCGAUUGAAUGGCUUAGUGAGGCUUUCGGAUUGGAUUCUGGCAGCUGGCAACAGCAGCUAGAAACUGAAAAGUUAUCCAAACUUGGUCAUUUAGAGGAAGUAAAAGUCGUAACAAGGU